AAACCUUUAACAACGGAUCUCUUGGCUCUGGCAUCGAUGAAGAACGCAGCGAAAUGCGAAAAGUAAUGUGAAUUGCAGAAUUCAGUGAAUCAUCGAAUCUUUGAACGCACAUUGCGCCCGCUGGAACUCCGGCGGGCAUGCCUGUCCGAGCGUCAUUU
RNAcentral lists this ribosomal RNA (158 nucleotides) under Hypocreales sp. RNAcentral's name for it is "5.8S ribosomal RNA". It matches the Rfam family "5.8S ribosomal RNA". From Rfam's summary of the family: 5.8S ribosomal RNA (5.8S rRNA) is a component of the large subunit of the eukaryotic ribosome. It is transcribed by RNA polymerase I as part of the 45S precursor that also contains 18S and 28S rRNA. Lineage: Eukaryota; Fungi; Ascomycota; Sordariomycetes; Hypocreales. The record is from RNAcentral.